RNAcentral lists this non-coding RNA (189 nucleotides) under Deltaproteobacteria bacterium. Lineage: Bacteria; Pseudomonadati; Myxococcota; Myxococcia. The record is from RNAcentral.
ACUAAGCCAGCCCCAUCAGGUUCACCCAUGGUGGGUGAUGAAAAGGGAAGAUGGUGUAAGUCCAUCACGGUCCCGCCGCUGUAACUCUAACCCUUCGGGGUAAAACCACAAAAGUCACUGUCCGCCAAAGGCGAAUGGGAAGACGGUUUUAAGAGAAGUCAGAAGACCUGCCUGAGACAAGGUUACCUU